Empidonax traillii (willow flycatcher) is the source of this 695-nucleotide long non-coding RNA. RefSeq lists it as uncharacterized. Lineage: Eukaryota; Metazoa; Chordata; Aves; Passeriformes; Tyrannidae. The transcript is spliced from 3 exons. The record is from RefSeq and is a predicted model, not a curated record.
UCAAAUAUUGGAAAAAACUGAUGCUGUCUUCAGCUGGACCACUGUGGAAGUUCAGGCCAGAGGUGGAGGGCAAGCGUGUGGAUGGAGAUGGGCACAGUACUUGAACUUGCUUCUCACUCCUCUUUUAUUGAGCCAUGGUAACCCUCAGGAUUCAGCUGUAGCUAUGAGUCAAAAACUUAACAUUCUUGAAACAUGUUUCCAGUCGUUGUAAUUCUGUGCCACUGUCUUCUUUAUGAUGGAGAACAUGAUCCACUUUCUAAGGCUACUAACACUUCUGAGCCCAGCCUGCCUCCUUGCCCUUAAUCAGAGUGGCAGCCAUGGAACCCUGUCUCAGAGCCACAGAGGAGAAGUGUUGGAGAAGAGCAGAGGACAAAACCAGAGGAGCAGGCUGCUACAGGAGCUGGCUUCGCUUCUUGCCAUUGCCUUGUGCUGCAGCAUGGCUCCAGAGCACUUACCAGACACUGAACUGCGAGUUUACCUGCUGACCACCAUCUGUGAUGAGAAGACCCCCAGAUUCUGUCAGACUCUCAGCCACUGCUCUGGCUGCGGGAGCCUAGCAAAUAUGACCAAAAUCUGGCAGACAGGACAAGGUGAAAGACCCUCUGGGCCCUAAGUUCUGAUGGUUCUACUUGAUGUCCAAGGAGAAAGCUGGAAGUGAUUUAGAGAUGAAGAAGAAAGGAAUGGCACUGCUGUUU